GGGGGCGAAACGGCUUCGACGGGGAUAAAGAAGCUUUAGGUGCAUGCCGAGCUCCGGCUGACUCGUAAAACCGGCUGGAACUAAAUUAUAAUCGCAGACGAUUAUCAAUACGCUGUAGCUGCUUAGGCGGCUUCCGUCCUGUCAUUGCUCUCUUGCGGCUCUGACAAGGGCGUCGACUUAGCGAGAUAGCAGACGCUUAAAUCCUGCUAAAGCAUCUGCGAAACUAAUGUAGGAUAGCCUUUUCAGUAUCCUGCCUGAUGGAGACUAGAAAAGGCGAAACAUAGAUAUCAGGAUAAGCAUGUAGACGCUAAAGUGGAUUGUUUUCGGACGCGGGUUCGACUCCCGCCGCCUCCACCA
RNAcentral lists this transfer-messenger RNA (357 nucleotides) under Desulfobacteraceae bacterium. It matches the Rfam family "transfer-messenger RNA". From Rfam's summary of the family: Bacterial tmRNA, also known as 10Sa RNA or SsrA, is named for its dual tRNA and mRNA-like properties. The record is from RNAcentral. RNAcentral also lists the same sequence under 1 other name. Lineage: Bacteria; Pseudomonadati; Thermodesulfobacteriota; Desulfobacteria; Desulfobacterales; Desulfobacteraceae.